RNAcentral lists this ribosomal RNA (497 nucleotides) under uncultured bacterium. RNAcentral describes it as "partial 16S ribosomal RNA". It matches the Rfam family "Bacterial small subunit ribosomal RNA", at positions 28 to 507 of the family's 1533-position model. The record is from RNAcentral.
GAUGAACGCUGGCGGCGUGCCUAAUACAUGCAAGUCGAGCGAACAGAUAAGGAGCUUGCUCCUUUGACGUUAGCGGCGGACGGGUGAGUAACACGUGGGUAACCUACCUAUAAGACUGGAAUAACUCCGGGAAACCGGGGCUAAUGCCGGAUAACAUUUAGAACCGCAUGGUUCUAAAGUGAAAGAUGGUUUUGCUAUCACUUAUAGAUGGACCCGCGCCGUAUUAGCUAGUUGGUAAGGUAACGGCUUACCAAGGCAACGAUACGUAGCCGACCUGAGAGGGUGAUCGGCCUCACUGGAACUGAGACACGGUCCAGACUCCUACGGGAGGCAGCAGUAGGGAAUCUUCCGCAAUGGGCGAAAGCCUGACGGAGCAACGCCGCGUGAGUGAUGAAGGUCUUCGGAUCGUAAAACUCUGUUAUUAGGGAAGAACAAAUGUGUAAGUAACUGUGCACGUCUUGACGGUACCUAAUCAGAAAGCCACGGCUAACUACGUG